Non-coding RNA from Rattus norvegicus (Norway rat), 6931 nucleotides. The record is from RefSeq and is a predicted model, not a curated record. Lineage: Eukaryota; Metazoa; Chordata; Mammalia; Rodentia; Muridae.
UUGGAUGCCGCAGCCGCCGCGGUCAGCGCUUCCUCCUGUGUCUUCGCUGCGCGUUGCAGGUUCCCGCGGCCUAGGCGGCAGGGAGGUGACACAGGAGCCCGUGGGAGGAAGAGGAAGGAGGAGAAGGGGGUGGAGAGUGGAGGGGGCCGAAGCUUGAGUGUGGAGGCCGCUUCCGAGCGGGGCGGAGAAGCAGAGAAGGCGCCGCGCCAGCCCCUCCCCCGCCGCCGACCCGCCCCGGCGGCCUCGGUCCUGCUCGCUGCGCCCGCCCCGCGGCCAUGCCGGGACCUCACGGGCGCUGAGGAGCGUCUCCAGCUAGCCGUGCUCCGCGGCCUCCUGGGCCCGUCGCCCGCCCUUCCGCACGCAACGCGCCCAGCCGCCGCCUCUUCCUUCGCCGGGCCCCGGGCCUCUGCGCAGACAACAUGGAGGCCGUGAAGACCUUCAACAGCGAGUUGUAUUCGCUGAAUGACUAUAAGCCACCCAUUUCUAAAGCAAAAAUGACCCAGAUUACAAAGGCAGCCAUCAAAGCUAUUAAGUUCUAUAAACAUGUGGUACAGAGCGUUGAGAAAUUCAUUCAGAAAUGUAAACCAGAAUACAAGGUACCCGGACUGUAUGUUAUUGACUCCAUUGUGCGACAAUCCCGGCAUCAGUUUGGUCAAGAAAAGGAUGUGUUUGCACCCAGAUUUAGUAAUAACAUCAUUAGCACUUUCCAGAAUUUAUAUCGGUGCCCGGGGGAUGACAAGAGUAAAAUAGUGAGAGUAUUAAACUUAUGGCAGAAGAAUAAUGUUUUUAAGAGCGAGAUUAUCCAGCCUCUCCUGGAUAUGGCGGCAGGGAUUCCUCCCCCAGUUGUCACCCCGGUUUUGGCCAGCACCACUGCAGCCAUGAGCAACACUCCAGGAACACCUGUGACACCUGUUACUCCAGCCAAUGUGGUUCAAGGCCUACCUGAUCCAUGGGUAUCGCAGAUAACAAACACAGACACACUGGCAGCUGUUGCCCAGAUCCUACAAAGUCCUCAAGGUCAACAGCUUCAGCAACUAAUACAGACCUUACAGAUACAACAGCAGAAGCCCCAGCCCUCUAUCCUUCAGGCUUUGGAUGCUGGCCUUGUGGUUCAGUUGCAGGCACUCACUGCACAGCUUACAGCUGCAGCUGCUGCAGCCAACACACUUACUCCCUUGGACCAGGGAGUCUCUUUCAACAAGAAGUUGAUGGAUAGAUUUGAUUUUGGGGAAGAUUCUGAGCAUAGUGAAGAAUCCAAAAAGGAAAUUCCUACUCCUCAACUCUCUCACGUUUCUGAGUCUGUGAACAACUCCAUCUUCCAUCAGAUAGCAGAACAGCUGCAGCAGCAGAACCUGGAGCAGUUGCGGCAGCAGCUCCUGGAGCAGCAGCAGCCUCAGAAGGUAACUCCUCAGGACAGCCAGGAGGGAGCAUUUGGCUCUGAGCACUCAGCUUCACCCUCACAAGGGAGUAGCCAACAGCAUUUUCUGGAACCUGAAGCAAAUUUAGAUGAUUCCAUAGACAUUCAGCAACAGGAUAUGGAUAUUGAUGAAGGGCAAGAUGUUGUUGAAGAGGAGAUCUUUGAACCAGAAGCUAAGAAAGUAGCUGUUCGCUCAAGAUCAAGAACUCAUUCACGAUCUCGAUCAAGGUCACCAAGAAAACGGAGGUCCAGGUCACGCUCUGGGUCCCGAAAGCGAAAGCAUAGGAAGAGGUCUCGCUCCCGCUCCAGAGAGAGAAAGAGAAAAUCCUCACGUUCCUAUUCAAGUGAACGCAGAGCCAGGGAAAGGGAGAAAGAACGCCAAAAAAAGGGCUUGCCUCCUGUCAGAUCGAAAACGCUAAGUGUAUGCAGCACUACUCUCUGGGUUGGCCAAGUGGACAAGAAGGCUACACAGCAAGAUUUAACCAACCUUUUUGAGGAGUUUGGGCAAAUCGAAUCCAUUAAUAUGAUUCCACCCAGGGGCUGUGCAUAUGUCUGUAUGGUUCAUCGACAAGAUUCAUUUCGGGCUCUCCAGAAACUGAGUUCAGGAUCCUAUAAAAUUGGUUCCAAGGUCAUUAAGAUUGCCUGGGCUUUGAACAAAGGUGUAAAGACAGAAUACAAACAGUUCUGGGACGUGGAUCUUGGAGUCACAUAUAUACCCUGGGAAAAAGUUAAAGUAGAUGACUUGGAUGGCUUUGCAGAGGGAGGCAUGAUUGAUCAGGAAACUGUAAAUGCUGAAUGGGAAACUGUGAAAACCUCAGAACCCGUUAAAGAGACUGUCCAGACGACACAGAGUCCAGCUGCAGUUGAGAAGGAGACAGUGGUCACAACGCAGUCAGAGGUUUUCCCUCCUCCUGUCACCAUGCUGCAGAUUCCUGUAGCACCAACCGUUCCUGCAGUUAGCUUAGUUCCACCAGCGUUUCCUGUGUCGAUGCCUGUCCCCCCUCCUGGAUUCAGCCCCAUCCCUCCACCUCCUUUUCUACGAGCAAGUUUUAACCCUUCACAACCACCUCCUGGUUUUAUGCCACCUCCAGUUCCCCCACCUGUGGUACCUCCCCCUGCAAUCCCACCCGUAGUACCAACAUCUUUAGUGCAACCACCAUUGUCUAUGACCCCAGAAACUGUGAAAGAUGUUGGAUUUGGCAGCCUUGUUUUACCAGGUGGUUCUGUUGCUGGCAAUCUUGCUCCUUCAACUCUACCAGCUGGAAAUGUUUUUAAUCCUCCCAGUAAAGCAGAGCCUGAAGAAAAAGUACCUCACCUUACAGAACACCAGAUUCCUUCUGGUGAGAAUACCAGACCAGUGAUUCCAAGUGAUAUUCCAAGCAGUGCUCCAAUGUUAGCACAGCCGCCUGGGGCCUCAAACACCUCUGGGAUCCUGUGCGUGCAGAGACCAAACGUAUCAAGCAAUUCUGAAAUUCUGGGGGUUCGUCCAGCCAAUGUUUCCAACAGUGCUGCGAUUAUGGGAGCCCAGCCACCAAAUAUGCUCAAUAACUCUGGAAUUUUGGGCAUACAGCCACCAAAUGUGUCCAGUGGCUCUGGACUUCUUGGGGUACUGCCUCCAAACUUGCCUAACAACUCUGGACUUGUAGGACUACAGCCACCAAAUGUUACAAAUCCUGCUGGACUUUUGGGAACACAGCCACCAAUUGGACCUCAAAACUUACCCCCUUUAACCAUCCCUGCUCAAAGGAUGCCUGCGUUGCCAAUGUUAGACAUUCGUCCGGGACUGAUAGCACAGGCUCCUGGGCCAAGAUUCCCUUUACUACAGCCUGGAAUUCCACCACAACGGGGUAUCCCUCCCCCAUCGGUACUUGACGCAGCUCUUCAUCCACCACCCCGUGGACCUUUUCCUCCAGGGGAUCUUUUUAGUCAGCCAGAAAGACCUUUUCUGGCUCCUGGAAGACCAAAUAUAGACAGUGUUCCUAACCCAGAUAAAAGAAUACCACUUGGGAAUGACAAUAUCCAGCAGGAAGGGGAUAGAGAUUACCGCUUUCCUCCUAUAGAAACCAGGGAGGGCAUUAAUAGACCUCCUCCAGUGGAUGUUAGGGAUGUGGUUGGACGACCUAUAGAUCCCAGAGAAGGCCCUGGAAGGCCUCCGUUAGAUGGUAGGGAUCAUUUUGGAAGACCUCCAGUGGACAUGAGAGAGACUCUUGUGAGGCCAGGUCUAGACCACCUUGGCCGAAGAGACCACUUUGGCUUUCCCCCAGAAAAGCCUUGGGGGCCUAGAGAUUUCGAUGAGAGAGAGCACCGAGUUCUGCCUGUCUUUGGUGGUCCAAAGGGCUUACAUGAAGAAAGAGGCAGAUUUCGGGCUGGAAAUUAUCGAUUUGAUCCUAGAAGUGGUCCUUGGAACAGAGGAUUUGGACAAGAAGUUCACAGAGAUUUUGAUGACCGCAGAAGACCCUGGGAGAGGCAGAGGGAUAGGGAUGACAGAGAUUUUGAUUUCUGCAGAGAAAUUAAUGGGAAUCGUCUUGGACGAGAUAGAAUUCAAAACACUUGGGUUCCCCCUCCUCAUGCUCGGGUUUUUGAUUAUUUCGAAGGGGCCACUUCUCAACGGAAAGGUGAGAAUGUGCCUCAAGUUAAUGGUGAAAAUACAGAGAGACAUGCUCCGCCACCGCCUUUGCCAGUGCAGAAGGACCCUGAACUCUAUGAGAAGCUGGCGUCUUCAGGAGACGCAGACAAGGAGGAGAGCGGCACAGCUGCUGGUGUAGAGAGUGAAGCGGUGGUAGAAAGCACAGAGACUGAGGGGACAUAACAUCGCUCAGUAGUUGUUCCUGUGCUUAUUCAGUGAGCUUCCCUCUGCUGGUCCAAUAUUCUCUUCUGGAGUAAUCACCUGCGCUCCCCUUCUUAGAUAAAAAGACCCAGAAGAUCGUGGGGAAGGAUGUGAAGUGGUUCAUCUUCGGCAGUCUGGUUGAAGUUGAAGGUGGAGGGAAAUGCCGAGCGGUUGGAUCUUUUCCUCUCGGAUGCACCAUGAUGUGGUGCUGGGAGAUAGAACAGCUCUCAUCAGCUCAGAUGUGAGGGACUAGAGACAGAGUCAAGUGAACCACCCAAGCCCUCUGAGUAGCCAGAAGAGGCCCAUUGGCAUCUGAUCAUUCAUCAUCAGAAGGGAGAGGUUGCUCUUCAGAGAGCUCAGCUUCUGCAGAGUCAGCUUGACCCACUGGCAGAGCUGCCCAGCUGUGGCCAACAGAUGGCUGAACUGGAGUCAGUACAGCUCUUGCCCACUUCCUACGAUCCCGGGGUCCUGGAAGGGAGGCUGCGUGUCAGCCUGUGAGUGUCCUUGGCAUCAAGUGAUGGAAAAGCACUUUGAAAAAUGAUUGACGGAUUUAGAGUGUAUGUGUGCAUGUGCGUGGAGGUCAGGGAAUUUUCUGGGUUUGUCCUCUCCCUCUACCAUAUGAGGCUUGGGGAUUGAACUCCAGUUGUCACUCUUGGCAGCAAUCACUUUUACCCACUGAUCCAUCUUGUCAUCCCUGGAAAAACAUAUCUUAACAGAAGGAGCCGGCGAGGGGAUCCCGGUGUCUUCUUCAAUCAGAGUACGUUUGAGCUCCCAGGAGAAAGCAAUUCAACUCAAUCAUUUCCUCUGGGCUUAACACUUGUGUGUGUGUGUGUGUGUGUGUGUGUGUGUGUGUGUGUGUGUGUGUGCUUUGUGUGUUGUCAAUGUUCAUGUGAGGCAGAGUGUUUACAUGGCAGAAAGGUGCUGUGAGAUGGAAGUGAUGAAACAAAAAACCUGCUACUCGACCUUCCAAAAGGGAGCAAAGUGUUUUAAAGAAACUCUUUGGGUGGAGUUCAGGGAAGGACAGUCUGUGUGUUGAUGAUAUCGGCUUAGUGUUCUGUGAUCAGAACUUCCAACAAAAUUCUGAACAGCAAUAGAAAACAUCUUGUUUGAUUCCACUGCCCCCUGUGUGUUGUCUCUCUUCUUUCUCCCUUCCUUUCGAUAGAAUCUUGCGAAUGCAGUCAAGACUGGCUUUAGACUCUCUAUCCCUGAUAGAGCACGUGAACCACCAUGCUUGACCUUGGCUUGAACAAGUUAUAGGAGCAAAAUUUGUUGUCCAAAUAUUUCCAGGCACAUUCUGUGUAUCAGGAAUUGUUCUGAGUUACUGGAGAUUAAGAGCGCACACUGGCUUCCUCCUUCCCUAGAAUCUGUGUACGUUAAGCACCAAGGGUCUGCAAAAGAUGUCAGAGAGGUAGCUUGUGGUGGCAUUGGUGCAAUCUCCUUUAACUUUUAGCAUAGAUCCACUGAGUGGCUCCAGUGCCUUGACGGCUGUGACUUGAGGAGGUUGUCAAGAGAGUGGGGCAGUCUUUUGAAACCUUCAUGAUGUCCUUCCCUCUGCCGGGGUGGACAUGGGAAGUUAGAACCAACAGCGGAUGGUCUUGGCUGUGUGAUGUACGCAAGCUGAUGAACCCGUGGUGAAGAUAGCACUACCUCAGCACCAUUCCUUGCUUCUCUCUCCUCCCCAGCCCUUUCCCAGUACUCUUUGCUAACUCUCCUGAACUUUUUCUAUUUCUCUUCAUCCCAUAGUGUUGACUUAGGGCCUAGCAGCCAGGUGAGGGCUAGGCAUCGUGUCUAUACAUCUGUUAUUUCCAAGUAUACAAGUUCAACUGUGUCCUGAGCACUAGUGUGAUCUAGUUUCCCAAUAGUCUCCCAAGAAGAUUCUUCUUGAAUGUACCCUCCAGCUGACCACAGACACACACUUAAAUCCUUUGGCAGGGCUGUCAUCUGUUGAUGGAUUAAUGUUGUGAGCUCAUCAUACCCCUGUAGGCUCAUGUGUGUCUGAUUGACUUUUGCAAGCUUCUCUUUCUUUGUCUCCUGUCACUCUGAACUUAGUCCCUUCCUUCAAAGUGUCUUAGCUGUUCCUUGACACUGCAGAGCCUCAGAGUCCUCUAUCUGGACAGACCCACUCCUCAGUCAGUUCUUCAAAACUCACCUCAGGUUUAACAGUCCCAAGAAGACCCUCUCUAGGCCUGGGGUUCUGAGGAUACCCCUCAUGUACUGUUUGAGUCCUGGCAUUUGCUAGCUCGAUUUUCUACUGGGUUUUCUUCUCGUAACUAGAAGUCUCAUGUGGCUAACACUACUUUGUAUUGAUUUAAAUUUCUCUAUGGCUUCUCUCUCUUAAACUCUGAUUUGCAUAGGAUUGGGCUCAAACUCUGGUUACUCAGUGUGGUAGUCAACCAUCACUGUUAGAAUGACUAGAUUUAGAAUUUUCUAGACGACUCACUUCUGGGUGUGUCUGUGAAUGUGUUUUCAGAGAGGCAGAGGAGAGAAGAUUCACUGACAGCGGGCCAAGACUGAACAAACUGGAAAGAGACAGCUGGAGGACAGUCGUCCUUUCUAGAUCUCUGUUUUCUGGUUCACAGAGAUGUGAAUACACUGCUUCCCACUUGUAUUGCUAAAGCCAUGAACAAGUCCACCCCAUGGAUUUCACCUUCAAACCAUCAUCCCAAAUAAAUCCAUCCUAUCUUAAA